AAGAGGGGGCUUCGAGCGAUUGCAAGAAAGAGAGAGAGAGAGAGUGGGAGAGGGACCUCUGUGAAACCCUAAAAUCUCGAUCUCCCUGCCGCCGCCAUUCAUCUCCUUACCGCCGUCGUCUCCUCCGUCAAAGCGUUGCCGGUGCAGAGUUAUGAAUGGAGGACGAGAUGAUCGUGGAGCCUAUGAAUUUGUUGACCUCUCAGAGUGACAAUUUCAUUCAGAUUGUUGAGGUAAUGCUUUAAAUCUUCUGCUUCUGCGUCGUCUUCCACUGCGGAUUGUGCCACUGGUUCUGCUUUUCCUCUGGUGGCUUAAAGCACUCAAAGUGCGGUUUGGGCGUGGAUUCGGUGUUGUGGUUUGGGCGCAGAUUUGGUGGUGCUAGCUGAGGAGAUCAAGAAGGCGAGCUAGCUAGUCUCUAUAAGCUUCGAGUCAAGGCAAAGAAUUUGAUAUAGAUUUUGUUAAGUUGAUUUGAUAUAUUAUAAAGGUGCAAGAUCCUUGAGGUACUGAAAAAUUGGCCUGAGAGGAGUAUUCAAGUUAUUGUUGUCACAGAUGGCGAGCGAAUUUUAGGACUCAGAGACCUUGGAUGUCAGGGAAUGGGAAUUCCUGUUGGAAAAUUGGCUUUGUACACAGCACUAGGAGGGCUUCGUCCAUCAGCAGAAUAUUCUGAACUUCUGAGUGAGUUCAUGGCUGCUGUAAAGCAGAACUAUGGGGAAAAAGUUCUUGUGCAGUUUGAAGAUUUUGCAAAUCACAAUGCUUUCGAGUUGCUUGCGAAAUACGGCACAUCUCACCUAGUCUUCAAUGAUGAUAUUCAAGUACUAUAAUUAAAGCAUUGAACUUUGGCCGACCACACUUUCCUAUUCCUUGGUGCUGGCGAGACAAAGAAACCAAUAGAAAAAACUCGCAAGAAGAUAUGACUUGUAGACUCAAAGGUAUUUUCUAUCAAUUUUUUUAGUGAGUGGGGUGAUGAGCCAGGUGAGUGUAGUUAUAGAACAUUUUUCUUGGAGCGUAGAAACAGGGACAUUAUGAAAAGGCAGAACCGUGAAGUUUUAUUCAGCGGAAUUAUCACUGCCAUUGGUAUUAGCUUACAUAAUUUUCCUGAAGGAAUGGCAGUGUUCCUUGGGUCCGUGAAGGGCCUUCAGGUUGGUUUUAACCUUGCAUUAGCCAUUACUUUGCACAAUAUCCUAAAGCCUUGUUUGCAAUGGAAACUCCUGUGAGCUUGGAUGCCGAGGACAUCAGAAAUGAAAAGGUGAAGGUUCUUAAAUCAAUGAGACCAAUUCAAUUAGAAGAUGUUGUUGUUGGUCAAUAUAAGGGCCGUGCUUUUCAUUGACAAUGCAAGAUGGGAUGGAGUUCCUUUUCUCAUGAAAGCUAGCAAGGCUCUCCAUACUAAACGGAAAAAGAUUCUAUGCUCAUCGAGUUUGUUUAGUCAAGUCAGAUAUAUUUCGAGCAAGGUUUGAUGGUGGUUACAGGGUAGGCCUUGAUUAUUCUUGAAAAUUUUUUAUAAGUUAUUUUUUUUCUUUUUAAUUAUGUAUGAAGUGCAGAUUAACUGUGAUUAAGCUCCUUUUUUUUCCUUGUAAAUAUUCAAAUAUAAACUUAAUAUGAAGUGCAAAUUUAUGGAAGAUUAUCAUAUAGUUAUGAUUCUAGGAUAAUGUUACCUUAGCUAGUGUAAUAUUAUCUUGCUUUUGGUUGAGCUGAUUUUAGUUUAAUUUAUACUAAGAAUUUCGUGCUGGGAUAUCUUUGUUUUGUACUUGGAAUUUUGUAAAUCCACUACCAAGAAUCAUACUCUAUCAAUGUAUUAAUAUUUCAAUUAUUUACUUAUAUUUGUAUAGUUAUGGUUAGUUAAUAUGAUUAGUAAUGUGGCUUGCUAUGAACCUCUUUUUUGGCAGUGCUCAAAAUUAGGAAUAGCAGUCUGGUAGUGGUUUGCCGUUGUUCAGUUUGUGGCCCUUUUUUUUUAAUUUGAAAAUGAACUUUGUGGGGGGUUUUAAACCGCCACAAAAAUGAAAAAAAAC
Arachis duranensis is the source of this 2003-nucleotide long non-coding RNA. RefSeq lists it as uncharacterized. Lineage: Eukaryota; Viridiplantae; Streptophyta; Magnoliopsida; Fabales; Fabaceae. The transcript has 12 exons. The record is from RefSeq and is a predicted model, not a curated record.